This is a non-coding RNA of Pelobates cultripes (western spadefoot toad), 467 nucleotides long. Lineage: Eukaryota; Metazoa; Chordata; Amphibia; Anura; Pelobatidae. The record is from the annotation of a GenBank genome assembly.
CUGAUAUUAUUUUUUAAACCUUUGCCCCUCUAAUUUAAGACUAUGUCCUCUUGUUUUCUUCUUUUAAAUAUAGUCUCCUCCUUUACUGUGAUUCCCUUUAUGUAAUUAAAUGUUUCUAUCAUAUCCCCCUGUCUCGUCUUUCCUCCAAGCUAUACAUGUUAAGAUCCUUUAACCUUUCCUUGUAAGUUUUAUCCUGCAAUCCAUGAACCAGUUUAGUAGCCCUUCUCUGAACUCUCUCUAAGUAUCAAUAUCCUUCUGAAGAUGCGGUCUCCAAGUGAGGUCUCACCAGUGUUCUGUACAAAGGCAUAAGCACUUCUCUUUCUACUGCUAAUACCGCUCCCUAUACAACCAAGCAUUCUGCUAGCCUUCCCUGCCCCUACAGUCUCUCUGCUCAAUUCUCUACCAUUUAGGAGUUAAUUCACUUUGUUUAUGCAAUCCUAGUCACACCUCCCUGCAUGUGACUUAGC